This 394-nucleotide unclassified non-coding RNA is filed under the name soil metagenome. RNAcentral describes it as "partial contains 5.8S ribosomal RNA, internal transcribed spacer 2, and large subunit ribosomal RNA". The stretch from base 1 to 120 matches the Rfam family "5.8S ribosomal RNA", at positions 35 to 154 of the family's 154-position model. The record is from RNAcentral.
GAUGAAGAACGUAGCGAAAUGCGAUAAGUAAUGUGAAUUGCAGAAUUCAGUGAAUCAUCGAAUCUUUGAACGCACCUUGCGCCUUUUGGUAUUCCGAAAGGCACACCUGUUUGAGCGUCAUGAAUACCUCAAUCUCCAUCUUUUCUUCGGAUUGAUGGGUGACUUGGAUGUUGAGCCCUGCUGGUAUGCUAUAUCAGCUGGCUUUAAACUUAUUAGCCGGCUCUGUACUGGAUCGGUUUGACUCGACGUGAUAAUAUUAUCGUUGAGGAUGCAUGUCUCAUGCAGCCGGAAAGUAUCAAAGCAGCUUCUAGCUUGCCUUUAGUGCACUUUUACAUUUUAGACCUCAGAUCAGGUGGGACUACCCGCUGAACUUAAGCAUACAAUAAGCGGAGGA